GCCCAGAUGGUUGUUAGCAUUUGCAGCAAUAAAGUAUUUUAAAUAAGGCUGGAGUGCUUACAGCUCACUGUGGUCUUCAACUGAUGGCCUCAAGCUAUCCUUCUGCCUCAGUCUCUGUGUAGCUGGUACUACAGCACUCAAGAACCAGCCAGACGCAAAAGCCAAAAUUGACAAAUGGGAUCUCAUUAAACUAAAGAGCUUCUGCACAGCAAAAGAAACUACCAUCAGAGUGAACAGGCAACCUACAGAAUGGGAGAAAAUUUUGCAAUCUACUCAUCUGACAAAAGGCUAAUAUCCAGAACCUACAAAGAACUCAAACAAAUUUACAAAGG
This 332-nucleotide long non-coding RNA is filed under the name Papio anubis (olive baboon). Its description in RNAcentral is "lncRNA (ENSPANG00000048840.1)". Lineage: Eukaryota; Metazoa; Chordata; Mammalia; Primates; Cercopithecidae. The record is from RNAcentral.